RNAcentral lists this ribosomal RNA (494 nucleotides) under uncultured soil bacterium. RNAcentral's name for it is "bacterial SSU rRNA". It matches the Rfam family "Bacterial small subunit ribosomal RNA", at positions 26 to 532 of the family's 1533-position model. The record is from RNAcentral.
AGAUUGAACGCUGGCGGCAUGCCUUGCACAUGCAAGUCGAACGGCAGCACGGGAGCAAUCCUGGUGGCGAGUGGCGAACGGGUGAGUAAUACAUCGGAACGUGCCCAAUCGUGGGGGAUAACGCAGCGAAAGCUGUGCUAAUACCGCAUAAGAUCUACGGAUGAAAGCAGGGGAUCGCAAGACCUUGCGCGAAUGGAGCGGCCGAUGGCAGAUUAGGUAGUUGGUGAGGUAAAGGCUCACCAAGCCUUCGAUCUGUAGCUGGUCUGAGAGGACGACCAGCCACACUGGGACUGAGACACGGCCCAGACUCCUACGGGAGGCAGCAGUGGGGAAUUUUGGACAAUGGGCGAAAGCCUGAUCCAGCCAUGCCGCGUGCAGGAUGAAGCCUUGGUGUAACUGCUUUGUACGGUAACGAAAAGGUACUCUUUCUAAUAAAGAAGGAAGUCAAUGAACGGUACCGUAAGUAAAUAAAGUACAACCGGACUAACUUAACG